This 76-nucleotide transfer RNA is filed under the name Nitrospinota bacterium. RNAcentral describes it as "tRNA-Arg". It matches the Rfam family "tRNA". Rfam says of the family: Transfer RNA (tRNA) molecules are approximately 80 nucleotides in length. Their secondary structure includes four short double-helical elements and three loops (D, anti-codon, and T loops). Further hydrogen bonds mediate the characteristic L-shaped molecular structure. tRNAs have two regions of fundamental functional importance: the anti-codon, which is responsible for specific mRNA codon recognition, and the 3' end, to which the tRNAs corresponding amino acid is attached (by aminoacyl-tRNA synthetases). tRNAs cope with the degeneracy of the genetic code in two manners: having more than one tRNA (with a specific anti-codon) for a particular amino acid; and 'wobble' base-pairing, i.e. permitting non-standard base-pairing at the 3rd anti-codon position. Lineage: Bacteria; Pseudomonadati; Nitrospinota. The record is from RNAcentral.
GCGCCCGUAGCUCAGGGGAUAGAGCGUCGGACUCCGGCUCCGAAGGCCGCAGGUUCAAAUCCUGCCGGGCGCACCA